Molecule: non-coding RNA, 87 nt
Filed under: Pseudomonas psychrophila
Lineage: Bacteria; Pseudomonadati; Pseudomonadota; Gammaproteobacteria; Pseudomonadales; Pseudomonadaceae
Source: RNAcentral
UGUGGGAGCGGGCUUGCUCGCGAUGCCGGCGACUCGGUCUAUCAGUAAAACCUUGUCGGUCCAAUCGCGAGCAAGCCCGCUCCCACG